RNAcentral lists this long non-coding RNA (626 nucleotides) under Daphnia pulicaria. RNAcentral's name for it is "uncharacterized LOC124338521, transcript variant X1". Lineage: Eukaryota; Metazoa; Arthropoda; Branchiopoda; Diplostraca; Daphniidae. The record is from RNAcentral.
CGAUCCCUUGCUUCGCGCGCGAGUUUCCCGAUAGGGUUUUUUUUUGCGGAGUUUGUGUCUUUUUAGCUUUGGGUUCGAUGUUUUUGUUCGAUUAAUCGUUUUAUAGGGAAUAAAAAAAAGCCUCAUAACUAUAGGAACGGAAAAAAAAAUUGCUAACCGAAAUGAAUCCGCCCCAAAAAUUAAAAACCUUCGCGCGAGUUUGACUCGAAAGUAUGGGGUGUGACAACUUUCUUUAUUGACACGACAGCAAUGUUGGGUCAUAUUCUUUAAUGUGGAGGGCACCCUUAUGAUGCAGUGUUAUUGGCUGAGAAAUCAGCUCUUUUUUUGCAACACAAAUUCCUCUAUUAUAAAAUAGCAACCAUGGACGGAUAUCAACCUGAUGUGGAGCUCUCAGAUGAUCCUUAUGAUACCAAGAUACUAAACACAGAGAACAUUCCUUGUGUACUGACUUUGAUGAAGAUUGGAAACCCUUUCCUAGUAGUUCCAACACCAAAAGAAAAAUGCUGCAGCUUUUCUGGUAUUAAAAUGAUUACUGCUGUUAGGAAAAUUGACAGUUGUAAGACAUCAGCUAUGAUAUUCUUAAAGAUGGAACUUUUAGAGAAAUAAAAUUUAAGCGAUGAUAUAAA